CGGGACGGGUGAGUAACGCGUGGAUAACCUGCCGUAUGCAGGGGGAUACCAACUGGAAACAGUUGCUAAUACCGCAUAAGCGCACAGUACCGCAUGGUAUAGUGUGAAAAGAUUUAUCGGCAUACGAUGGAUCCGCGUCCGAUUAGCCAGUUGGCGGGGUAGAAGCCCACCAAAGCGACGAUCGGUAGCCGGCCUGAGAGGGCGGACGGCCACAUUGGGACUGAGACACGGCCCAAACUCCUACGGAAGGCAGCAG
Molecule: ribosomal RNA, 256 nt
Filed under: uncultured bacterium
Lineage: Bacteria
Description: partial 16S ribosomal RNA
Rfam family: Bacterial small subunit ribosomal RNA
Source: RNAcentral